RNAcentral lists this long non-coding RNA (7463 nucleotides) under Malus domestica (apple). RNAcentral describes it as "long non-coding RNA (MDOM_LNC011507)". Lineage: Eukaryota; Viridiplantae; Streptophyta; Magnoliopsida; Rosales; Rosaceae. The record is from RNAcentral.
CGGCCUUCUGCACACAAGUUACGCUCUAGUGCUUCUCAUAAAUCAUCUGUGCACAUAAUCUAAGGUCACCCACCAGUCGGAAUCUCACUAACACUCUCGCGACUGGUCUGUCGUACCCACUCCGCGUGGACUGUACGACUAGCAUCUACUUGGAUCCAAGGCGAGCGUGCGAUGUGGUGAAUACUAUAAGCACUAAACCAUGGUGCAGGAUUUGAGCUCAAUAUAUAUCAUCAUCAUCAUAACAGUAAUUAAAUACUCAUCUGUGCGUCCACCGCACCAUUUCAUACAUAUGCAUCAUAAAUCAAUUCUUACCUGUGCGUCCACCGCACCAAUUCAUACAUAUGCAUCAUAAAUCAAUUCUUACCUGUGCGUCCACCGCACCAAUUCAUACAUAUGCAUCAUAAAUCAAUUCUUACAUGUGCGUCCACCGCACCAAUUCAUACAUAUGCAUCAUAUAUUAAUUCAUGCAUGGCAUUUCAACUCACAUUUCUAUAUACUUUUCAUAUCAAUUCUAUGCAUGGUAUUUCACUUCCCGUUUUUCCACAUAACUCAUAUGCAUUUCAUUUUAAACAUAUUUUCAUUUCAAUUCAAUUUCUGGGAAACGUCAAGUAUAUAUAUAUACGGAAAACAAAACUGCCCACUCACCUGGAGUUCGUCCAACAACUCCCUAGCACCACACAUCAAGGCGUCAUGACGAUCGCCGCCUAGAAUAGUAAUAGUAAUCAAAUCCAGGCUCAGAAUUCAUAUCGAUAGAAUACAUAACUUAUAUAAAAUACGUCACUACGUUGAUCGAUCCGGAAGAUCUGCCACUCAGAUUUUAAAUCCAUAACUUCCAGAGGUCCACAUUAUACCUCUAGGACAACAUCCUAAAAUUUCAUUACCAUCCAACGGUCGGAUCUCCGUCAAUUUCCAAAACUAAGUGACGGUUAACAUUUUAUAUUAUGGACUUACAAUUCCAAUUCCGGAAGAUCCGUAACUCGGAUUCCCAAUCCGUAAGUUCCAAUAAUCCUCAAAUAUUACGUAUUACAACGUAUCAAAUUUUGGUGACGAUCCAACGGUCGGAUCAUCAAUUCACAUUUUCACCUAAAUGUGAAAACUAUAAAACGUUAUUUGAACACCUAACCAACAAUCCUCAAUAACUUUCUCAUACGGUGUUCAAUUUAGGUAUAUGAAUAUACCACAGUGAUCUACUCGACGUCACGGACGUCGACAUAUUUUUAAAAUAAUUUUAUUUUUAUUUUUUAUUUUUACUGUAGCACCUUCUUCUUCCUUGGGUCGCCGGACUGGUUUUUCCGGCGGCCGUUUUCCGGGCAGUUUUUCAAAUUGCCAUAACUUUGUCAUUUCUCAACGAAAUCAAGUGAUUCAAAAACGAAAGUUGUAGCCCUUGAAGAGAAAAAGAGAAUGGUACCUUGCACAACACCUAGUUCGCCGUGGUUUGGCCGGAAACUUCCUCGAAAGCCUCGGAGGUCGCCGGAAACUGGGUAUUUUUCAAAUGAGUAUAACUUCUUCAAUACUCAACGAAAUUGAGUGAAACAAAAAGGAAAGUUGUAGUACUUGACGAGACGAAGAGAUUGAUACCUACCUCGACUCCUAACUCGCCGGGUAUUCGCCGGAAAACGCCUCGAAAGCUCCGGCCAAACUUUGAACUUGUCGAUCUCCGUGUUCUUACGUCCAAAAACUUCCAACGAAGCACUCCGAGCUUCCUUGGGACCUUACUAAACUCGCUGUGAUCUUGUUUUAGCCUAAAACGUAACCAAUUCAAAGCUCAUGAACAGUGUCAUCUCACGGCAACUUUAGAACUAGGGUUUUCGAAGUGAAACUCACCUGAAAUUGGUAUCCCCGUGCUCGUGAAGUCCCCAGGAUCACGAUGGUGGUCUUAAAUGGAACGUUGGUACAAGAUUGUGGUGGUUCUUGGUGGUUGCCGUGAGUUCGAGAGUAAGAGAGAGAAUGAGAGAGUUUCAGAAAAGAAUAAGAGAGAGAGAGAGUCUGGAAUGAAAGAAGAAGAGAGAAGAAAGGUUACGGGUUUUAGGGAGGGAAUUCAGGGUAGGAGGCCCUACCUAAGUCCAAGCACAAAUUAACACAUACAAAUAUAAAUCUAACCCUAGUUUAGGAUCUUAAAGUAAAACAAAUGUCAUACAUUUACACACCUUAAUCCCGUUUAAGGUCACAUUGGUCAUCUCACGUCCUCGGAAUUAAUAAUUCCGGGACGGGCUGUGACAAUCUCCCCUCCUUAUAGAAUUUCGUCCCCGAAAUUCCAAUCACCAACCAGAACAUCAAAACUCAUAAAAUAGUCUCGGAUACAUAACUCUCAUCCGUUCUUCUGUCUCCCAUGUAAUUUUCUACUGAAUGAUUUCCUUCACAAAGCUUUUACUACUUACUCUGUCUUAAUUCUUAGGACCUUCUUUUUCCAAUCCAAAGUCGACAUUAGUUCCUCACCAAUCAGAUCCGGCUUAAUUCUCAAUAGUUGCACCAAAGUCCCAUGUAACGACUCUGCCACUUAGUGACAACGCAUCGAACACAAAAUACAUUAUGUGCCUUAGCCAAUUCUGAAGGCAUCACAAACUUGUAUGCAAGUUUAUUGAUUCCUUUAGUGAAAAAAAAAAAUGGUCUGAUGUGUCUAAAUCUUAUCUUGUCUCUUUUCCAAUUCUCGUCAUUUCUGUUCGCGGUGAAUUUUCCAAAAAUAUCAAACCAUUUACCUUACACACUCGAUUAGUGGCAUAUCCAUCUGUUGAUCUCUUUUUGCCAUUCCUGGUUACUUCAGGUUAACUUAAUCACCUGAAUACUUUGAGGAGACUCAUCCAUAGUCUCAGGGUCUACUAAAACUCUUUCUUGAUCGAAUCUUUCUCUACCCAGAAACAUUCCAUUCACAAGUCAUCAAAAACCGACUCACGUGACACAUUUCAUGGUCCUUAUGGCGUUACUUCGGAAACUGCACAACCAACAUACUUAAGAAACUUAGCAGUUCCGUAAUCCAAUUCUCUUUUCCAUAAAACAAAUUAGUAAUGUUGCACUGUCUGGGAAAGGUUGUUACUCAACACUGGAGUAAAUGUACUAACUUGUUACUUAACAAGUAUAACUUCUUCUCGAUCUUCCAUUCUUAACUUUACUUUAGUUGGUUUCCAAUCCACAAGAAGAUAAUCUUGGCAAACGUGCCAGACAUUAAUCUUACUGUAGUCUUCUCGCCAAGUGCUUGAGCUAGAACAAACUUUACGAUCACCCUGAUCGUACAAUCAUGUUCAUUAAACAAUACAAUUCACUUUCGCUGCCUCAUAUCAAAUUCCUUCCAAGUAAUGGAUAUUGAAGACUUUUUGGAUUCGUAAAAAAAAAUCUUGCAUUCCCACUAAAAUAUAAUGUCUCCAUAACUUCACAGCACGAAUGGUAAUCGUGACUUCCAAAUCACCAGUAGGGUAAUUCAUCUUAUGAGAUUCCAUUUAUCGUGAAACGUAUGCAAUCACCCUAACAUUUGCAUCAACAUGCAUCCAAUACCAUUCAAGAAACAUCACUAAAAAUUUAUGAUUACCAUUAUUCUCUGGGAUUACCAAAAUACGUGCAUGAGUGAGGAAAUACUUCAGUUGUUGAAUCCUUUGCUUACAAUUCCUUCCCACUCAUACCUAACCUCUUUUCUCAACAGUCUCGUCAAUGACAAAGCAAUGACUGAAAAAUCUUUCACAACCAUCCAAGAUAGCCUGGUAAGCUAAGAAAUUCCAAAUCUCAAUUACGACUCGUGGUUGUUCCAAAUUUUAAUUUCUGUUACCUUUUAAGGAUUCACUUGAAUACCUUAAGAAUAUAUAACAUAUCCCAGAAAUGCUGCUUGAUUCAUCCAACAUUCGCAUUUGCUAAACUUAGCAUACAACCAACGUUCUCUUAAUCUUUGCUUCACCGACUUAAUACGUUUACAUGCUCUGCUCUAGGCUUAGAGUAUACCAGAAUAUCUUCAAUGAAAAUGAUAUCUAUUUAUCAAGGCAUUAUUGGAAUACUUCAUCCAAUAACUCAUAAAACAGCAUGAGUAUCCAUAUAGCAUCACCAAACUUCAUAAAGACUAUAACGAGUCCAGAAAACCAUCUUAUGAUCAAUGUCACUUAUAAUAUUCAAUUGGUAGUAACCAGAUCUCAAUUCAAUCUUUGAAUCUUCGCAAUUACUUCUGAGCUGGUUAAAUAAACAUCAGUACAUCACCAUGGAUAACGGUUCUCAAUCGUUACCCGACUCCAUUGUCUAUAAUCAAUGAACAGUCUCAAGAUCCAUUUUCUUCCUCACCAACAAACUGGGGCUCCUCAAAAGUGUUGUACUAGGUUGAAUAAAACUUUUAUCAACCAAUUCCCUCAACUGAAUUUCCAAUUCCCUUAACUCAUCAUGAACCAAUCUCCAAUAUAAAUUUAUACCUGGCAACAAAUCAAUAGUGAACCUCAUAUCUCUGCCUGAAGGCAAUCCAGGUAUACUUUCAGGGAAGACAUCAAGAAAAGUCUAACUCUUUCGACAUUAUUCACACUACUCCAAACAACAUCAUUUAGCACCACAUGAGCUAAGUAUUUUUGACAGCCUUUCGAAAACAAUCUCUUUGCUCUCACAACAUAAAUAAUGGCUGAACUCAAUCCAUUUUGCAUACUUACAAAAGUAAUCUCUGUUCAUCCAGAUCGAUGGAAAGUACUGGUUUCCCAUAACAUUUCGUCUUGUCACAAUUAUAACCAACCAAUCUAAUGGAAAUAAUUUAACCGACACAAUACAUACUCUAUUACUACUAAGCAUUCUGAAUAAGUACAAAAUAAUCUACCGGUUUACUUACUUAACGAAUCCACGAAUGAGUUAUUAAUAUUACGGUCUGCAGCCCGCAAUACUGAUAAAUCAUCGUUGUCUCGAUAAGUAGGCAACCACUCUCAAAGAUAUAACAUUACUAUUUUGUCACUCAAUGCAAAAUACAUACACUCAUCUCAACUACAUUUAUUUACUACUCUCAAGGUAAUAACAUACAUAAUAAGAAAUAUAUCAGCCGAAGUCAACUAGAAUGAUCAAUACGACUGAUUCAACUCUUAUCUCAAUAAUACGUCGGCCGGAUCCACUCCGCGUGGUCGGUACGGCCGAGCCUAUAACUCACAAAUUUCGCAUGUGUCAAUCGAAUCCACUUCUCGUGGCCUGUACGGCUGAACAUAUAACUCAUCAAAUUUCUCUGUACUCACAGUCAAUCCGACCAAACUACUAAGUUUAUAACUCUUCUGAAUCGACACUAUGAUAUCAUGGAAAAUUAUUGAGUACAACUGAUUCUAGGGACGAUUCACAAUUCUGUGUCCCCUCUGUUCACAUAAACACAUUCAUUAAUUUCACACUUCCCAAAGUGUUAAUUUUUGUACCUGCAGCACAAGGUACAUUUCCUUUACUCGAGACACCUUGUCUCAAAUAUCUGGGAUUACCAGUAUAUCCAUCACUUUUAUUCUGACCAGCGACAUUAAAACCUCAGCUGGAAAAAUUAACUCUAGCUUCACUUCUUUCGAAGCUCUGAAUCUUUCUAUAUCCUUGAUAUGACGAAUCAUUAACUUUAUCGUCUUCUUUUAAUUCCUAUUCUUUUCUUAUUCUUCUUUAUUCUCGUUGCUCAUGUUCUCAGAGUCCUCAAGAUUCAACAACAUCUAGCAUACUCCUGAUAAGAACUACAAUGGAUAGUGGUCACCCAAAAUACCACUUCCCUUUUGUCACCCAGCUUAAAACAACAUAACACCUCCACCAAAUUAACAACAAUAUCUGGAUGGAACGAGGCUAGUCUGAAAACUUUCUAUAAUAUCCCUCGAUCAUCACCUUCCUUGUCUCAUAUUUGUAAAUUCUUGUUUACUACCAUCGAUAAAUGCCGGAGGGAUAAACUUUUCCUUUAAACAAGUCCUUAAACAAUUCUCAAUCGACUGAUUCCUCUGGUGACAACAAUUCAUACUCCUGUUUCCACCAGGAUACAAAUUCAUAACCAAAACCAGGUAGUCGUCUCGACCCCCUGUCAGAAGGAAAUUUCCUUUGACUUGCAUAAUCUGAAACAUCUUUUCCAAAUGGUUAAACCGUUACUUCGCUCUCUCAGGUUCAUCAUUUCAUAAGGUGAUUCAAGUUCAACUCAUUACCCAUCUUAAAAUGUCCCUUUAGACAAUAGACUGAAUCACCAUAGUAAUAGUUUCCCCCUAAACCGCUAAAUCAGGGAGACUAAGUUCCUCUAACUACGUGGCUUGCUACGAGGCGGUGUAGUUCUGACAGAAUUCACUAGAACUUCUCAAGAUGUCCAAGAUUGCAACCAUGCUCUGAUACCAACUGACACACCCCGUCCCGAAGGAGGGCAUGCUGGCCGUCACGUGAGAGUGACGUAACCAUUUGCACAGUACGGAAGCUUUAAGAUACAAUUUAUAAGUUGAUACACCCGAAGGUGAGUCCUAAUUUUGUCCAAUCUGUCAGAACACCGUCGAAUUCCUCGUAGUCACCACACCUUUGUGAUUCCUGAACCUGGAGGGGCGCAAAACCAAAAUUGAGUGGGUCAGUAAAACAAUUCUUUUUCCAAAUCCAAACAUUUCUCAAAACGUUGUAACCCCUCUCCGUAAAACCUGUAUACUUUCCCAGAAAUGUAAAAUAUAAAUAUACAUAUAUAUUCUCAAGACUUCAAGUCGUUAACUCAACAUUUUCAUAACAAUUAUGCCAUGCCACACAUCAUCUCAACAGUAAUAAGGUAUGAAUGCAUCAACAUAAUCAUAUCAGGUGCAAGAAAGUAAUCAACCGUAGGCCCUCUAAUAGCCCUGUACGGUUGAACCUAGAGCUCAAAAUCUAUCAUUAUCACUCUACCGGAGUCACCUCUGUGACCCGUCCGGCCUUCUGCACACAAGUUACGCUCUAGUGCUUCUCAUAAAUCAUCUGUGCACAUAAUCUAAGGUCACCCACCAGUCGGAAUCUCACUAACACUCUCGCGACUGGUCUGUCGUACCCACUCCGCGUGGACUGUACGACUAGCAUCUACUUGGAUCCAAGGCGAGCGUGCGAUGCGGUGAAUACUAUAAGCACUAAACCAUGGUGCAGGAUUUGAGCUCAAUAUAUAUCAUCAUCAUCAUAACAGUAAUUAAAUACUCAUCUGUGCGUCCACCGCACCAUUUCAUACAUAUGCAUCAUAAAUCAAUUCUUACCUGUGCGUCCACCGCACCAAUUCAUACAUAUGCAUCAUAAAUCAAUUCUUACCUGUGCGUCCACCGCACCAAUUCAUACAUAUGCAUCAUAAAUCAAUUCUUACAUGUGCGUCCACCGCACCAAUUCAUACAUAUGCAUCAUAUAUUAAUUCAUGCAUGGCAUUUCAACUCACAUUUCUAUAUACUUUUCAUAUCAAUUCUAUGCAUGGUAUUUCACUUCCCGUUUUUCCACAUAACUCAUAUGCAUUUCAUUUUAAACAUAUUUUCAUUUCAAUUCAAUUUCUGGGAAACGUCAAGUAUAUAUAUAUACGGAAAACAAAACUGCCCACUCAC